CUCCAGCUGCUUCGCUCUCAGCCUCAGCGCCAGCAGAGGGAUGCAGUGUCCUUUUCAGCAAGUGGAAGGGAGGCUUAGCAAAGUCUCAGCACCAGCUAUACUCUGAAGGCAGGGAAACCGUUUGCUUCUCUUUUUCCAACACUCAGCUUCGGUGUCUAAGCCACGGUCCAGUCCUUUGGAAGGAGCUGGGUAAUACGUUGUUAACUGGAAAACAAGCAAUCUUCACUUCCUGUCUCUUCAAGUCAGCAGUCCAGGGAUCAGGACCACAAACCUGUCUCUGGGACAGGCCCGAAGAGAUGGUGGCCUUUAGGUGGGCAGAGAAGAGAGCUGUCAGCGUCCAAGAAAGCCAAGGUCUGGGCAGCCUCCCAGAUGCCUAGGAGCUUUUCCUCUUGCAAUCCGUGCCCCAUGGGACACGUUCCUCCUCCUCAGGGUGGAUCAGACCGACUGACUCACCUCUAACACACUUUGGCCAGACCGAUGGCAUCAUGAAAGCCUACGAAGACACUCCAGGUCCAUCGCAGAGCUCCCUCCCCACGCGGCCUCUUAAAUCAUGUGUUCUCGGGGAAUUUAUCUACCCUGCCGUGAACAGCACCAUCAAAGGGUCACCUGGAAUGUAAACUAGUACAACCAUCGUGGGUGUUGGUAUGGGGAGGACUCGAAAAACUAAAAGCAGGUAUCUUCCCAAAAGAGUUAAAGUCACACAUUAUAGUAAUACAGGCAACCCAUGUAUAUAGCAGCAGAACCCAUAAUAGAUGAAUCUUGACAGUGGCCUAUGUGUCCAUCAGCA
This is a long non-coding RNA of Heterocephalus glaber (naked mole-rat), 787 nucleotides long. Lineage: Eukaryota; Metazoa; Chordata; Mammalia; Rodentia; Bathyergidae. The record is from Ensembl.